CAAUAGCGUAUAUUAAAGUUGUUGCGGUUAAAAAGCUCGUAGUUGGAUUUCUGUCGAGGACGACCGGUCCGCCCUCUGGGUGAUGCAUCUGGCUCGGCCUUGGCAUCUUCUUGGGGAACGUUACUGCACUUGACUGUGUGGUGCGGUAUCCAGGACUUUUACUUUGAGGAAAUUAGAGUGUUUCAAGCAGGCGCACGCCUUGAAUACAUUAGCAUGGAAUAAUAAGAUAGGACCUUGGUUCUAUUUUGUUGGUUUCUAGAGCUGAGGUAAUGAUUAAUAGGGAUAGUUGGGGGCAUUCGUAUUUAACUGUCAGAGGUGAAAUUCUUGGAUUUGUUGAAGACGGACUACUGCGAAAGCAUUUGCCAAGGAUGUUUUCAUUGA
RNAcentral lists this ribosomal RNA (381 nucleotides) under uncultured eukaryote. Its description in RNAcentral is "partial 18S ribosomal RNA". It matches the Rfam family "Eukaryotic small subunit ribosomal RNA", at positions 592 to 976 of the family's 1831-position model. The record is from RNAcentral.